UACUCGUAUUGUCGACGCGGUCUCAAUGGACAUAAUACUACACCGUGACUUUGUAUUGAACACAAUCUAAGCGUAGGUUGAAUUUGAACUAUUUAAAUACUUAUUUCUCUAGCAGGAUUCCGUUGUAUUAUUUAUUCACAUUUACAAUAAAACCAGGUACACACAUGAAUGUGUUUUAACGGACUACCGGCUAAAACCUUUCUUGCGACACAUGUUAGGAGAACUGAGCGAUCCCCUUGCUCCUCAAGCUGUUGAGAAUAUCUACAAUAAGUGAAUUUAAAAAAAAAACAACAAACAACCGUUUUCCAAGCAGAAGGGUUACAUAGAGUUCAUUUAAAGACACAAUGAAAUUGUUAUUAGUGAUACUGCUUACAUCUAUAACUACUGCAUAUUCAAUACCAAAUCUUACAAACAAUCGUGAUAAAGAACUUAAAGAUGUGAACGAUCGUAAAGUGGAUAUAAUUAAACGAUUAAUACGAGCUUUAUCAAUCCCGAAAAAAGAUAUAAUUAAAGUUGAGGAGCUGGACGAAGAGGCUUCAAUUCGUGAAAAAAGAUGGAAUCGACAAAUGUUCGGAUGCCAGUGUUCAGGAUUCCGUGUUGGAUGUAGAAGCACCAAAUUUUGCAAAUAUAGACAUGGGGAGGAUUUUUACUGUGUUAAGGACUGUUGUGGCCUACAAUGUACCCAAAAAUACUAAAAUAAUGUUACAAUAAAUUCUGCUUGUUUGUUAUUACACGAUAAAGAUCGGGGGCUUUAUUAUGAUUUCAUUGUGCUCAUUCCAAACAUAAUCCGUGAUAUAAUCCAGGGAUAAGGAUUAACUGUAUAUACGCUCUAUAGAUUUUUACUAACCGUGAAUUAUUUAUUAGUUAUGUAUCCACUAGAGACUUCUAUUCAUCAAACAAAUUCCGUAUCUCAAUUUUAGCGGGAAAUGUAUUUUGUAAACUAAGCGUUUUAGGCCACACAUAAACUCUUAGAGAUAUUUACAAGAGGAAAAAAACACGUACAGCAUGUAUAACAUAACGUCUGAAGUGGGAUAUUUAUUCGACUUUUUGGAACCACGGUGGCUCAGUGAGUAUGUCUCUGACUCACUAACUGCUUUACCCUUUUCAGUGGUGCACCGCGAAGAGCCUGACAAGGAACGGUGCCCAAUCAGACGGAUGGAAAGAAAAACCACGGUCCACCCCCGUGACGGUUGAAAUUCAAUGAGAAGUAAAAACAAAUCCCACAUAGCACAUUGCAGGCGUAUGUCCGACUUUAUUUAUUUUCAUCUCAAGAUUCCACUUCGGAGGUGUUAUCUGCUUAUUUAUACGUAUAGAAAUUAUGUCAGGUCAGACCGGCUUUGAUCUUGGAAAUUCGGUUAAAUGUAAUGCCUGUUUUCAAUAGCUAAAAAAAAUUUGAUCAGAACUGCCUGCAUACACCAAAAAAUCCGUUUGCUUUCUUGCAACGUCUGUAUAGUUUGUCUUAUCCACAGGUUUGUCGUAUAGCUUUUGUUAUGUGUGUAGUGCGGUUCUCCUGUACUUACUACUACUAUAAAUAACAAUUGGCCUUUUCUUUGAAUCUAAAUCAAAACGGUUCUGCACCUACAAGUGCUAUUAUAAUAAGGAGUGUCACAUUCCAAAAAACGGAAAAAUAAAUCUAUUUAUUAUUUAUA
Patella vulgata (common limpet) is the source of this 1649-nucleotide long non-coding RNA. RefSeq lists it as uncharacterized. The record is from RefSeq and is a predicted model, not a curated record. Lineage: Eukaryota; Metazoa; Mollusca; Gastropoda; Patellidae. The transcript has 3 exons.